UACGGAGGGGCUAGCGUUGUUCGGAAUUACUGGGCGUAAAGCGCACGUAGGCGGCUUUGUAAGUUAGAGGUGAAAGCCCGGGGCUCAACUCCGGAAUUGCCUUUAAGACUGCAUCGCUAGAAUUGUGGAGAGGUAAGUGGAAUUCCGAGUGUAGAGGUGAAAUUCGUAGAUAUUCGGAAGAACACCAGUGGCGAAGGCGACUUACUGGACGAUUGUUGACGCUGAGGUGCGAAAGCGUGGGGAGCAAACA
This 250-nucleotide ribosomal RNA is filed under the name uncultured bacterium. RNAcentral's name for it is "partial 16S ribosomal RNA". It matches the Rfam family "Bacterial small subunit ribosomal RNA", at positions 524 to 774 of the family's 1533-position model. The record is from RNAcentral.